UAAAACUAUCUUGUAACUAACCAAUAUCUUCAAACGGAACACCAAAAUGUUUAUCUACUAUUAUUAUGAUGCAUAUGGUUCAAUUUAAGACUAUAUCCCUUCAUCAUACAUACAUUCUCCGACAUGUUAUAUAGGAGCUGAGACAUUAGUAAUAUAAAAAGUUUUAAAAUUAAUGUGGCUGCAGUUACAACUCACAAUUACAUCCAAUCUUUGAUAUUUGAGGAAAAUUGUGGAUAAUGACGUUGAUGCGGUCUCAGGUCCCAAAAUCCUCCAUUGUUCUAGUAGCUUUUAGCCUGCAAAAGAAAUUAGUGUCUCAAAUUUCAGUUCUCAAGAAAACAUC
RNAcentral lists this long non-coding RNA (340 nucleotides) under Trifolium pratense (red clover). RNAcentral describes it as "long non-coding RNA (TPRA_LNC014153)". The record is from RNAcentral. Lineage: Eukaryota; Viridiplantae; Streptophyta; Magnoliopsida; Fabales; Fabaceae.